RNAcentral lists this ribosomal RNA (582 nucleotides) under Bacillus pumilus. Its description in RNAcentral is "bacterial SSU rRNA". It matches the Rfam family "Bacterial small subunit ribosomal RNA", at positions 49 to 614 of the family's 1533-position model. Lineage: Bacteria; Bacillati; Bacillota; Bacilli; Caryophanales; Bacillaceae. The record is from RNAcentral.
CUAUAAUGCAAGUCGAGCGGACAGAAAGGGACUUGGUCCCUUAUGUUUUCGCCGCCACAGGGGUGUAUCACAUGUGUAACCUGUAUGUUAUACUGGGAUAUCUCCCCGAAAACCCAGCUCUUACCCGAUAUAUUCUGGUACCCCUCGGGUUGGAGCUGUGAAACAGUUUCUGCGGUGACUUACUAAUGUGCCCCCGCCGCAUUAUAUAUAUGUUGAGGUAACACCUCACCCCAGCGACAAUAUGCAUACCACAUCAGAGGGGGAUCUCCCACACUGUGACUCAGACACAGCCCCCACACUUACAGGAGGCGCCACUAUGGAAUCUUCUCCACUGUGCGAAAAUCUGAGAGAGCACCACCCCGCGAGUGAGAAAAGUUUUUUGAUAUCAAAAAUCUGUUGUGUGGGGAAAAAACAUGUACAAGUAACUCUGUGUGCCUUUUCAGUACCCCUUAUUAAAACCCCACCUAACUACAUGUCCCCACCCCCGCUAAUAUACAUGUGGGGAGCGUUUUCCCGAAUUUUUGUGCGUAUAAAGCGCGCACGCGGUGUCUUUUAUCUGAGAUGAAAAACCCCGGCUCAACC